Molecule: long non-coding RNA, 632 nt
Filed under: Sitophilus oryzae (rice weevil)
Lineage: Eukaryota; Metazoa; Arthropoda; Insecta; Coleoptera; Curculionidae
Description: uncharacterized LOC115875753
Source: RNAcentral
UUGAGAGGCUGUCAAUUUCAGGAUAAAAAUAUUUAUCCACAUAUUUUAAAAUAAUUAUAAAGCCACUAAAAUGCUACAAAUUUAUUAGUUAAUAAUGUAUAGGCGUCGAUAUCUUUAGUGAAGAAAUGUGUAUUACACGAAAAGGUCGCUUGAUGUGAAAAAUUUGAUGUGUUUUCUAACAUCGUCGAUAUUCAAUACACGUUAGUAUAACCUAUUGGUACAUAAAACUUCAUUAUAGAACAAGACAAGACCACAAUAGAUCUGAGAAUGUCGCAGUCUGAGAUCAGGCUGAGAUCAACCUUUAGAAAUCUAAUCUAGAACAAGACAAAGACCUUACUUUCAAACUACCAUACAUAUCUUUUAAAAAGGCUGCUAAGUCAAGAAGUUUAGAUAAAUCUACAAUAUAUUAUCAUCAGACCAAAUGAAGAAUAAUUAUUUAAAAGAAUAAGUUAUGUUAUGAUACAUAUAUAGAUUUGGAUGACAUCGCUUCAGGUGGUUUUACCAGUCAGGACUAACAGGGAUAUUAAUCAAAACAAUGAAAAAAAGCUCAAAUAAAUUUGAUCCUAAUAACAAGAAUGUUGUUUAUGCAUAUGCUAACUAUAUAGUUAUUUUCAUGGACUUAAAUAGAUUAG